Molecule: long non-coding RNA, 792 nt
Filed under: Triticum aestivum (bread wheat)
Lineage: Eukaryota; Viridiplantae; Streptophyta; Magnoliopsida; Poales; Poaceae
Description: long non-coding RNA (TAES_LNC010856)
Source: RNAcentral
GGAGAUCAAGGAGCCAUUCCCACCCCACGUCGAAACACAAGAAUAACAGUGCUUAAUAAGAGCAUAAGAAACACUAGUUGUUUUUUCAAGGGUGCUAACUCACCUCUUCCUAUGGCGCUUCUCAGGAAAGAAACCAAGGCUCUCCUCUUGGCAGCAAUCCUAGCUUUCGCCAUGGUCAUGUCAGCAUGCCACGCUGAAGAAGGUAGUAACUGAUAAUAAGAUCUCCAGUUGUGUUCUUCCUUGCAUUCUUAGUCAGCUUAAAAUUACACCGUUUUCACAAUCUUUUUGAGUUUAUUUAUGGGUGUUUUUCAUACAUGCUCCUACUAACAACUCUCCUCGGGCGUGCUGCAUCAUAAUAUAUCUGCAUGCAGACGCGUGCCCUCAUGUCGUGCCGUGUGGCUUCGAGACGGAGUGCGUGCUCUACUGCAUAGAGCUAGGACUAAAGGACCCAAAGCUGCGGUGCCGGCUUGAUCACAAAGAUGGCUCCCAGAGGUGCUGCUGCGUGCCACGUGGUCCAUGAACCGGCGUACGCCAAUUGCUCUAUCUAUACAGCGAUCGAUCCCACCGGCAAAGAUAAAUAUAAACCUCUAUGUCAAUAAACCAGUGGGAAAGUAAUAAUUCGUGGUACCUUUUGUGUUUCUUCUUCGAUCACUUAUAUACGAACACAGGCCCAUACGUGUGCGCGCACGCCCUGUACCGUUCUCUUCUCAUACAUGUUCAUAUGUGCCUCGCUAGCUUGCGCGUACACGUGUGGUACUGGUAAUGCAUACAGAUUCAAGAUGUUGCUUGCAG